CAGAGCUGUGUUAAGAAAUGGCUCAUCUAUACAACUUACUGUACAUGGUGAGAUACACACCACUGAUUCUCACUUUAGUUACAGGCAGUUUUGCAGAUAAAAUUGGGCCUACAGAUGAAGUUACCAGCAUUAACAUGAAGGAAACAGACACAGUUACUCUGAAAUGUUUAUAUGAGUCAAGCGGCAAUUACAUUUUGCUUUACUGGUACAAACAAUAUCCUAACAGCGCACCACAGUUUUUACUGUAUAAAGGAGCAAGGUCAAGAACUGACCAGAGCACUCCUAAUGAUGAUCGAUUAAAGUCAGAAACAAACAGAGACUCUACUAAACUUACUAUCAGCGGUCUAAAGCUCUCAGAUUCUGCUCUCUAUCAUUGUGCUCUUAGAGACGUAACACAGUGAUACAGAGUCAGUGAAAGGCUUUACAAAAACAUUAUAAUGGCAAAUACACAUGCAAGAGGUUUCUAAAAACCACAUCAACUUUUUAUCU
Molecule: non-coding RNA, 489 nt
Organism: Tachysurus fulvidraco (yellow catfish)
Lineage: Eukaryota; Metazoa; Chordata; Actinopteri; Siluriformes; Bagridae
Source: the annotation of a RefSeq genome assembly